UGCAUGUGUAAGUAUAAGCGAUUGUACUGUGAGACUGCGAACGGCUCAUUAUAUCAGUAAUAAUUUCUUCUUUCUUUUAUAUGGAUACCUGCAGUAAUUCUGGAAAUAAUACAUGCUGUAAGAGCCCUGUAUGGGGCUGCACUUAUUAGAUUGAAGCCGAUUUUAUUGGUGAAUCAUGAUAAUUGAGCAGAUUGACUUUUUUGGUCGAUGAAUCGUUUGAGUUUCUGCCCCAUCAGUUGUCGACGGUAGUGUAUUGGACUACGGUGACUAUAACGGGGGACGGAAAGUUAGGGCCGACUCCGGAAAGGGAGCCUGAAAAACGGCUACCAUAUCCAAGGAUAGCAGCAGGCGCGUAAAUUACCCACUGGGGACUCCACGAGGUAGUGACAAGAAAUAUCGAUGCGAAGCGGGUAGCGUUUUGCUAUCGGAAUGAAAGCAAUGUAAAACCCUCAUCGAGGAUCAACUGGAGGGCAAGUCUGGUGCCAGCAGCCGCGGUAAUUCCAGCUCCAAAAGCAUAUGCUAAAGUUGUUGCAGUUAAAAAGCUCGUAGUUGAAUUUCUGGCAUGGGCGACCGGUGCUUUCCCUGAAUGGGGAUUGAUUGUCUGUG
Molecule: ribosomal RNA, 606 nt
Filed under: Aurantiochytrium sp.
Lineage: Eukaryota; Bigyra; Thraustochytrida; Thraustochytriidae
Description: SSU rRNA
Rfam family: Eukaryotic small subunit ribosomal RNA
Source: RNAcentral